CCAGGAGUUGAAAGACUUCAUGAGAUGAUUGAGCUUUGAAAACAUUCAACCGUAACAUCACAGAGAAAACAUAAGCUCAUCACUUGGAAUCAGAUGCCAACACAAGAUGCGUUUUUGAGUAAUGCCUGACCAUUCUUUACUUUUUUCUCCUAAUAACUGAAAGCAACACCCACCUGAAGAAUAUUUCAGCACCUCAUGACUUGCUGGACAAUGACUUUUUCUAAAAUGAAAACUUCAACUCAACUAUGAAUAGGCAAUCAAGAAGAAAUGGACAUUUGCUGCAUGCACUGUCAAAUAGUCGACAAAUACAAUAAAAAUACUCAGCUAGUGAAUUUACUGAAAUGGCUGCUUUUAGUAUGAUGCUACGUCUUGAUCUGUGUUGUGUUGCUGAGGAGGAGGAAGCAAUGCAGAUUUGGAUUCUUUGACGCCGCUGAUUUUCUGUCUUCGUUGAACUUGGGGUGUGGGUGAUUCGAAGGAGGAUUGUUCCUGAGCUCUGCUGUGUGCAUACUAGUUGCUGGCUGAGAGAAAUACUGCCAGAAAGUUGGGAGCUGAUCACCGCUUCAGCAUCUUUUUGGAAAGUGGAGAUCUGAUGCUGUCAAAAGUUGUCAAAAAAUGCUACUUUUAUCAGAUAAACAAAUGACUACUGAUUAGUCAUCAUCCCCUGUUGAAAAUAGGACCUUACAAUGUCUUUUAACAUUUCAUGUUUAAUUAUUUAGAUUUAUUGACUAUUUACAAGCAAUACUUAAUCAUGUUAGAACGGUAAACUUUACCCCUUCUGCUGUACCCUAUUGUCUCUUACUAGUGGGAUAGCAUACUGUAAAUUCCACAGCUCUUUCAGUGAGAAGGGAAGUGUCAGAGGGCUCAGAUUCAUUGGACUGAAAGAAAUCCCAUAGAUUUAGGAAUUCUUGCAGGUGCUAGCAUUGCAGAGAGACCUUUUAGGGCAAAAACAUCUAUAUCUGUCUUAUACCAUUGUGCUCAAGGCCACUCUUCGUGUUUGUUUAUAUUCUGCACUGACUGUUGCUGAUCAUAGCUGCUGAAGUACUGAAUGACAUUAUAUAUAUUAGAUUACCAGAGUAGUAAAAAGUUGUGCAAGACUGAAAUACAAAUGGAUGUUAAUGUGAUGUUUUUAAUUUUAAUUCCCUUUCAUACAAUGAAUGAGAUGAACCAUUCAGUUUUGGUACGUUGAGAUGUUGCAAGAAGCUUUCUCAGUGCAUAAUAGUUGGUAAUUGUUUUUAAUUUCUUGCUGAGUUUUCUUAUGGUCUGUUAACAGUAGCCUUAAAAACAUCAGAAUUUGUGGAAAGUUCUUUCAAACUGUGCUCACUGUUCCAGUGUUAUAAAAUCAACCCAUACUGCUGAAAUCCUAAUUCAGAAAGCCUCGUAUCCCACUGAAUCUCGCUGGGCUGCUUUUAGUAGGCCUCAGCAUGUACUAGAUUGGGGGUGACUGGCUGGAGGAGGGGCCCAGGCCCUAAUCCUUUGUAGCUAUGGGGAGAAACAUUGACAUCCCACAGAGAAGGAAACAAGGAGGCCCCUGAGCUAGGAAGAAAUCGUCCUAGACAAAAGCCCAUUACAUGGUUGCAAAUCACCUCACUGCUGUUUUUUUUUAUUUACAAGAGUCUGCAGGAAGAUUGUUUCCUCCCUGCUAAAUUUUGAUGCUUCAUAGGUCUUAAUGCUUCACUUCUAUAGGCACUUAUCUGAAUUGCCACAUGCAGACAAUAUUCUCUCUACGAUUCUAAUUAUUUUUAAAGCUGUACACUGCUUGGUGUGGAUUCAGUUAAAAACUGGUGAUUCAGUUCACAAAGUUAUCAACUUUGAGGAACAAUUUUUUAGGUUAAGCUAAAUAAGUGCAACUGAAAUGUAUAACAAAUACUUUCCUGUUAGUAAACAAGUUAUAAUGACUGGUAAAGAAAAUUUAAUCAGCUGACAAAGAAGUUGUGUUUUGAUGUUCUUCUGCUUCUUUUAGCCUGCAUGAUCACUCACUUGCUCAUUAUUUCAGUCAUGAAAUUACUUUGUAAUGAAAUGUAUUUUGAGUAGAAAACAUUAUUUGUAGCAUUCCUAUUUCAGUUAACUUAGCUGAAAUAUUAUUUCCUUUGUCACCUCACCUGUAGAAUUUGGUC
Non-coding RNA from Chiloscyllium plagiosum (whitespotted bambooshark), 2114 nucleotides. The record is from RefSeq and is a predicted model, not a curated record. Lineage: Eukaryota; Metazoa; Chordata; Chondrichthyes; Orectolobiformes; Hemiscylliidae.